CCUACGGGUGGCAGCAGUGGGGAAUAUUGGGCAAUGGAGGAAACUCUGACCCAGCGACGCCGCGUGCGGGAUGAAGGCCUUCGGGUUGUAAACCGCUUUCAGCAGGGAAUAAGCGAAAGUGAAGGUACCUGCAGAAGAAGCACCGGCUAACUAUGUGCCAGCAGCCGCGGUAAUACAUAGGGUGCAAGCGUUGUCCGGAAUUAUUGGGCGUAAAGAGCUCGUAGGUGGUUUGUUACGUCGGAUGUGAAAUGCAGGGGCUCAACCCCUGACUUGCAUCCGAUACGGGCAAGCUAGAGUUUGGUAGGGGAGACUGGAAUUCCUGGUGUAGCGGUGGAAUGCGCAGAUAUCAGGAGGAACACCGAUGGCGAAGGCAGGUCUCUGGGCCAAUACUGACACUGAGGAGCGAAAGCGUGGGGAGCGAACAGGAUUAGAUACCCCUGUAGUC
RNAcentral lists this ribosomal RNA (445 nucleotides) under uncultured bacterium. Its description in RNAcentral is "bacterial SSU rRNA". It matches the Rfam family "Bacterial small subunit ribosomal RNA", at positions 338 to 795 of the family's 1533-position model. The record is from RNAcentral.